RNAcentral lists this long non-coding RNA (1024 nucleotides) under Vulpes vulpes (red fox). RNAcentral's name for it is "lncRNA (ENSVVUG00000021394.1)". The record is from RNAcentral. Lineage: Eukaryota; Metazoa; Chordata; Mammalia; Carnivora; Canidae.
UUCACAUGGUCUGUGAUGUGAACAAUGCCCCCUGGAAUGUGUAAUGAGAUGAGCCUGCCCAGAUUAGACUUUAAAACCAGCUUGACACCUCUCAUAUACCCUCUUUGACCAGACUGAACUUCCACACCACCAUUUUCCCUGGGGCCAAACUAGACAGAUUGCUUUUUACAAGUGAGUCCCCUGACCUGACUUCUGACUUUGUGAGGAAGAAGAGAAUAGCAGGGAUGCUGGUUUUCACUCUAAUCAGCCUUGAAGAUAACUUGGGUUUGUUUUUUUUUAAUUUUUUUUUUACAAACCUGGGAUCUUUAAUAUAGAGUAGAAUCCAUCUCUAGAGGAGGAAAAGCUAAAGGUGAGAAGAGUUUCCAUACGGAAAAAGGCUGUUAGAAGUGCUCCUCAUUCCCUGAGAAAACUUCCCAGUCGUCAUGGCUUCUUCCAUUUCCCUGGACAAGCUGCUCCAAAGUUAUUUCAAGAUGGUAGCAGUAGAAAGAUGGAUUACCUCUGUCAACAGGGAGUCCUAACGUCCUGCCAUUCACUGAGCAAAGAAACGUGUGCCUGCCAUGGGCGGCUGAUAAGGGAAGUGGACACAGGAUAAACUUCAGCCCAGCCAGCUGACAAAGCUCAAACACAGCCUUUGAGAAAACAGCAACUCCCGGGCCUCUGCUUUGUGAAGGCAAAGACUGUGGGCUUUGUUCGAUUCCCAGGCUGUUACCGUCUGCGAGGAGUGUGCAGUUCUGAGCUGCUGCUGGCUGCUGCAGAGGCAACAGGACAGUUUCCUCAUAGGGAGCUAGAAGCACCAGUUGUCCAGAAAGGGUCUUUCACCUCCAGUGUUUCACCUCUGUCCCCCAUCCCCAUCACAUGAGCCUCUCCAUUCCCAUUCAUGUUAAGGAGCACACCAUGACUUGUAAUGGGUUUCCCAAUGCAUAUUUCAGAACUAGAUAACCACUAGCACUCACUGGACCAUUUAGUAUGGGCUUAAUAAGAACAGUAAACGUCUUACAUGCAUAAUUUCAUUGAAUCUUCACAA